AAGACACAUUAUUCUCGGAUAAAGCAUCCGAGUGAGCGAAACAGCUCUCUCAGUAUGUGUAGACCAUGUACCUGAUGCUGUCUGGACCAAAAGAGUAUGGUUUGUCAUACUAUUUCUGGCCAGACAGCAUCAGAGACAUGGGCUACAUAUAGUAAGACAGAGGGAUGCUGUUUCGCUCACUCGGAUGUUCUGUCCGGUGAGAGAGUUUCAGCAGAGAGGAAGAGGCGAAAAGCGAGAGGGCUCACUCUCGCCAAAAUCUGUCCAUAAUAAGCCCAAUGCGUUUCUAUAGGCAUAAUAUGCAGACCUAAGCUUGACGCCUGCCUUCCUGACCUUUGGGACAAUGACUCCCAUUAUUAGGGUGGAAACAUGAGCAUCUCGUCAUCGCAUACAGUUCUCUGGUUUCAGCCUCUUGCAAAUUGGAAAGGAAAGUUGGUAUACUACAGAUGCUGGGUGUCCCUCUGAGGCGUGUGCGGCUAGUUGCUGGGUCAUGAGAACUGUUGCUAUGGAAAAAGACAUGGCUGACCAAGACCAGACGGAGAGCACACAUUACACCUGUUUUAAGGUCUCUGCACCGGCUGACUUCUUGGACCAAGAGAUUAUGCCCCCAGCAUCUGGAAUAGCCUGCCAAAGAACCUGAGGGGGGCCGAAACUGUGGCCAAAUAUUUAAAAAAGAUACUAAAACAUAUUUUUACUAAAACAUACUUUUCCUUUGGCUGCUGUUUGUCAUUCUUUCGUUUUUUUAAUCUUGUGUUUGUUGUGUCGAAAAUUUUUCAGCUUUUAUUUUCCUUGUUUUUUUGUGUUUUUUCCCCCCUGUAAAGCACAUUGCAUUGCAUCCCAUGUCUUAAAUGUGCUGUAUAAAUAAAUCUGGAUUUGAUUUGAA
Molecule: long non-coding RNA, 880 nt
Organism: Oncorhynchus masou masou (cherry salmon)
Lineage: Eukaryota; Metazoa; Chordata; Actinopteri; Salmoniformes; Salmonidae
Exons: 4
Source: RefSeq, a predicted model, not a curated record